UGGGGAAUAUUGCACAAUGGGCGCAAGCCUGAUGCAGCCAUGCCGCGUGUGUGAAGAAGGCCUUCGGGUUGUAAAGCACUUUCAGCGAGGAGGAAGGUGGUGAACUUAAUACGUUCAUCAAUUGACGUUACUCGCAGAAGAAGCACCGGCUAACUCCGUGCCAGCAGCCGCGGUAAUACGGAGGGUGCAAGCGUUAAUCGGAAUUACUGGGCGUAAAGCGCACGCAGGCGGUUUGUUAAGUCAGAUGUGAAAUCCCCGGGCUCAACCUGGGAACUGCAUUUGAAACUGGCAAGCUAGAGUCUCGUAGAGGGGGGUAGAAUUCCAGGUGUAGCGGUGAAAUGCGUAGAGAUCUGGAGGAAUACCGGUGGCGAAGGCGGCCCCCCUGGACGAAGACUGACGCUCAGGUGCGAAAGCGUGGGGCAGCAAACAGGAUUAGAUACCCUGGUAGUCCA
Molecule: ribosomal RNA, 452 nt
Filed under: uncultured bacterium
Lineage: Bacteria
Description: partial 16S ribosomal RNA
Rfam family: Bacterial small subunit ribosomal RNA
Source: RNAcentral